AACGGCCGUACCAUGCUGAAUAUACCGGUUCUCGUUAGAUCACCGAAGUCAAGCAUCAUUGGGCGCGGUCAGUACUUGGUGGGUGACCACCUGGGAACACUGCGUGCCGUU
This 111-nucleotide ribosomal RNA is filed under the name Caerostris darwini. The record is from RNAcentral. Lineage: Eukaryota; Metazoa; Arthropoda; Arachnida; Araneae; Araneidae.